AGUGAACGCUGGCGGUAGGCCUAACACAUGCAAGUCGAACGGCAGCACAGUAAGAGCUUGCUCUUACGGGUGGCGAGUGGCGGACGGGUGAGGAAUACAUCGGAAUCUACUUUUUCGUGGGGGAUAACGUAGGGAAACUUACGCUAAUACCGCAUACGACCUACGGGUGAAAGCAGGGGAUCUUCGGACCUUGCGCGAUUGAAUGAGCCGAUGUCGGAUUCGCUAGUUGGCGGGGUAAAGGCCCACCAAGGCGACGAUCCGUAGCUGGUCUGAGAGGAUGAUCAGCCACACUGGAACUGAGACACGGUCCAGACUCCUACGGGAGGCAGCAGUGGGGAAUAUUGGACAAUGGGCGCAAGCCUGAUCCAGCCAUACCGCGUGGGUGAAGAAGGCCUUCGGGUUGUAAAGCCCUUUUGUUGGGAAAGAAAAGCAGCAGGUUAAUACCCCGCUGUUCUGACGGUACCCAAAGAAUAAGCACCGGCUAACUUCGUG
This 492-nucleotide ribosomal RNA is filed under the name uncultured bacterium. Its description in RNAcentral is "partial 16S ribosomal RNA". It matches the Rfam family "Bacterial small subunit ribosomal RNA", at positions 29 to 507 of the family's 1533-position model. The record is from RNAcentral.